Molecule: ribosomal RNA, 215 nt
Filed under: uncultured bacterium
Lineage: Bacteria
Description: partial 16S ribosomal RNA
Rfam family: Bacterial small subunit ribosomal RNA
Source: RNAcentral
GCAAGUCACCUAGCUUCGGCUAGGGGCGGACGGGAGCGGAAUAUGUAGGGACGUGCCCUGGACUCAGGAAUAACUCCGAGAAAUCGGAGCUAAUACCGGAUGCCCUCGCAAGAGGAAAGCUUCGGCGGUCCAGGAGCGACCUGCACCCUAUCAGCUAGUUGGUGAGGUAAUGGCUUACCAAGGCAUUGACGGGUAACUGGUCUGAGAGGAUGACC